Molecule: long non-coding RNA, 1245 nt
Filed under: Zonotrichia albicollis (white-throated sparrow)
Lineage: Eukaryota; Metazoa; Chordata; Aves; Passeriformes; Passerellidae
Description: lncRNA (ENSZALG00000008579.1)
Source: RNAcentral
CAUUCACCUUGUUGCCUUUUCCUCAAUAACCUGUGUAAUUUCACACUUUUGACUUUAAAAGAAAGCAACAUGCUGGGGUAUAAGGGAAAUAUUUGAUAUUUGGUGGUUUAUUUAUUCAUGUAAGUUGUAUUUUGUAAGGUUUGAGUUGAAAAACUUUGGAUUUUUUUCCCUAAACACCAUCCUAACGCAUUUGGACAAUAGUUCUGGAGUGACUCUUGGGGAUGGUGCAGGGCAGGGCAAGAGUUGGGCUCUGAUCCCUGUGGGUCCCUUCCAGCUCAGCAGAUUCUGAGUGCAUAUUAAAGCCUUGAUGUUUGUAACAAAAGAAUUAUAUUUGAAGCCACAGAGUAACUGGUUUUUGACUCUUUGCUGUAGGAGCUGGACUGGGUGAUCCUGAUGAACCCCUUCCAAUCACUGCAUCCUGUAAUUCUGUGACAUGGACUGAGGCAGCCUGUGGGGCAGGAUGGACAGCAGGACAGCAGGGACAGGCAAUGCUCACUCAUUUCUGACCCCCACCAACCUAGGGUAGAAGAACCAGGACCUCCAGUGUUUUUAAACAGGAAAUUGUGUGUGCCCCAUUGCUGUGUACAUUUACUGUGAUGGUGGAACUUGUGAGCUCUGGGAUCACAGGGAUACAGCCAGACUGUGUGGAAUUAGACAUAAAUUUGUUCUCACACCAGUUGUGAGCAGGUAGCUGAAAACCUGUUGAAGGUAAUAAUAAACUUUCUCACUGGUGAACAUCAGAGAAAUCCCAGGAGUUCCUGAAUUUGUCACAGGAAGCCUCAAAUGAGUUGAAGUUCUGGUCUGGAGUCAUGGUCAUGCCUGGGUACAAAGAGCCUCUGCUUGUAGCUGUUCAGAAAAAAAGGAGUCCAGACUGUGGGCUGUUCUUGCCUUCCCAUGAAAUUCCACUCUUCCCCUGGUUUAGGUACAGGAAGGAAAGAAUCCAUCUGUGGCAUUUCCCUGUGCAAGAUGCCAAAUGUUCAGUUGGAAAGGAGGUUUCUUCCCCCAGUCAGAACUGUCUCCUCUGUACCUCAAGAACUUCCUGUAGGAAAUUUUUAGACUGCUGGUGGAGCCCCAUGGAAUGAGUCAGCUCUGUGCUGCUUUCAGUCCUGUGAAUGAAAGGAGUCUGGAGGCAUAAUUUCCUUAUUACUGCAGCAUGGGUUUGAGAAAAUUGUAGAAUUCACUGCUUUCUCAUAGAUAUGUCUGUCUAAUUGACAGAAAGAAAACACCAAAGCCUCGUGUGAAUCA